AGACCCGAAACCCGGUGAUCUAGCCAUGGGCAGGUUGAAGGUUGGGUAACACUAACUGGAGGACCGAACCGACUAAUGUUGAAAAAUUAGCGGAUGACCUGUGGCUGGGGGUGAAAGGCCAAUCAAACCGGGAGAUAGCUGGUUCUCCCCGAAAGCUAUUUAGGUAGCGCCUCGUGAAUUCAUCUCCGGGGGUAGAGCACUGUUUCGGCUAGGGGGCCAUCCCGGCUUACCAACCCGAUGCAAACUGCGAAUACCGGAGAAUGUUAUCACGGGAGACACACGGCGGGUGCUAACGUCCGUCGUGAAGAGGGAAACAACCCAGACCGCCAGCUAAGGUCCCAAAGUCAUGGUUAAGUGGGAAACGAUGUGGGAAGGCCCAGACAGCCAGGAUGUUGGCUUAGAAGCAGCCAUCAUUUAAAGAAAGCGUAAUAGCUCACUGGUCGAGUCGGCCUGCGCGGAAGAUGUAACGGGGCUAAACCAUGCACCGAAGCUGCGGCAGCGACGCUGAUGCGUUGUUGGGUAGGGGAGCGUUCUGUAAGCCUGCGAAGGUGGCCUGUGAGGGUUGCUGGAGGUAUCAGAAGUGCGAAUGCUGACAUAAGUAACGAUAAAGCGGGUGAAAAGCCCGCUCGCCGGAAGACCAAGGGUUCCUGUCCAACGUUAAUCGGGGCAGGGUGAGUCGACCCCUAAGGCGAGGCCGAAAGGCGUAGUCGAUGGGAAACGGGUUAAUAUUCCCGUACUUGGUGUUACUGCGAAGGGGGGACGGAGAAGGCUAUGUUGGCCGGGCGACGGUUGUCCCGGUUUAAGCGUGUAGGUGUGUGUUCCAGGUAAAUCCGGUUCACUUUAACACUGAGGCGUGACGACGAGGCACUACGGUGCUGAAGCAACAAAUGCCCUGCUUCCAGGAAAAGCCUCUAAGCAUCAGGUAACACGAAAUCGUACCCCAAACCGACACAGGUGGUCAGGUAGAGAAUACCAAGGCGCUUGAGAGAACUCGGGUGAAGGAACUAGGCAAAAUGGUGCCGUAACUUCGGGAGAAGGCACGCUGACACGUAGGUGAAGUGAUUUACUCA
RNAcentral lists this ribosomal RNA (1070 nucleotides) under Salmonella enterica. RNAcentral describes it as "partial 23S ribosomal RNA". It matches the Rfam family "Bacterial large subunit ribosomal RNA", at positions 711 to 1773 of the family's 2925-position model. Lineage: Bacteria; Pseudomonadati; Pseudomonadota; Gammaproteobacteria; Enterobacterales; Enterobacteriaceae. The record is from RNAcentral. RNAcentral also lists the same sequence under 1 other name.